UUGUUUUUUCUUUAUUUCACAGAUAUAAUUUUGGAUGGAGCCAUGGAAAGGAGAAGCUUGAGUCUGGUAAAUUUGAUACAUAUAAAGGGUCUUAUUAUGCUAAUCCUGUUUUAGAUGUGCCCACAACUGAUGUUUCCCUUAUACAGCGGUAUCCACACUACUGCCGAGCAAAUAUAUGGCCUACCAAUGCUUUGCCUGAUCUUGAAUCAG
This is a long non-coding RNA of Dendrobium catenatum, 210 nucleotides long. RefSeq lists it as uncharacterized. The record is from RefSeq and is a predicted model, not a curated record. The transcript is spliced from 3 exons. Lineage: Eukaryota; Viridiplantae; Streptophyta; Magnoliopsida; Asparagales; Orchidaceae.